AUGACUCCUGAUGAACUCAAAGCACGUAAGGAAGAACUACGCGCCCGCGAGGAAGACCUCAAAUCUCGCGAGGCCAAGCUCACUCGCCAAGCUGCAGAAAAGGGCAAAACGCCUGUAGACAACCCCUCCAACACCUCAGCUUCCUACGUAGCCUCCAUCAAAGUCCAUGUUCCUAUCACCUUAGAUCUCCAAGACUCCAACUAUGCAAAGUGGCGUGAGCUUUUUCUGGUCGCCCUUGGUCGUUACGGCCUUACCGCUCAUGUCAGCAGCGACAAUGAUGCGACUCCCUCCGACACAUCUCCAACAUCCGAUUGGGUGCGCGAUGACUACACCGUCCUCUCGUGGAUCUACAGCUCCAUCUCCACCGAGCUCUUCAGCAUCUUCAUGGCGCCCGGCUCCUCCGCCCGGCAGAUUUGGCUCGCCAUCGACAACCUCUUCCGUGACAACAAGAAAAGUCGUGCCAUCGCCCUCGACGCCGAGUUCCGCAACACUCCACAAGGCGACAUGACGGUGUCUGAUUACUGUGCCAAGCUCAAAGGUCUCGCCGAUGCUCUCGCCGAUGUCGGGCAGACCGUCACUGAUGAAACCCUCGUCCUCACCAUGCUUCGGGGUCUCAACGAGCAAUACGCAAACCUUCGCUCUUUUCUUCCGUUUCAGGUUCCGUUUCCAAGCUUCCUGCAGACUAGAUCGGCAUUGGUGCUUGAGGAAGCACAGAAAAGGACGGACGCCAAGAACAACGCCGCAACUGCACUUUGGGCCAGCGGCAAUAGUGUGCUUCCUAGUGCUGGUGGCGAGCGUUUUUAUUCCUAUGGCGGUGACCGUUCCAUUGGUCGCGGCAACGGCACCACCGGCGGCUUCUCCAACACCGGCAACGGCAUGCCCAACAAUCGUGGCGGCGGGGGAGGCGGCCGUGGCCGCGGCCGCGGUGGUGGUCGUGGGCGUGACACCCCGUGGAUGUACAAUCCAUGGACGGGGCUCCCUACUCAAGCGCAUCUCCAGCACCAACAGUCUGCACCGCAGUGGCGGGCUCAGCCACACAUGCAAUAG
RNAcentral lists this ribosomal RNA (1047 nucleotides) under Triticum aestivum (bread wheat). RNAcentral describes it as "partial small subunit ribosomal RNA". Lineage: Eukaryota; Viridiplantae; Streptophyta; Magnoliopsida; Poales; Poaceae. The record is from RNAcentral.